This 741-nucleotide ribosomal RNA is filed under the name uncultured Lactobacillus sp. RNAcentral describes it as "bacterial SSU rRNA". It matches the Rfam family "Bacterial small subunit ribosomal RNA", at positions 28 to 736 of the family's 1533-position model. Lineage: Bacteria; Bacillati; Bacillota; Bacilli; Lactobacillales; Lactobacillaceae. The record is from RNAcentral.
GAUGAACGCUGGCGGCGUGCCUAAUACAUGCAAGUCGAACGAAACUUCUUUAUCACCGAGUGCUUGCACUCACCGAUAAAGAGUUGAGUGGCGAACGGGUGAGUAACACGUGGGCAACCUGCCCAAAAGAGGGGGAUAACACUUGGAAACAGGUGCUAAUACCGCAUAACCAUAGUUACCGCAUGGUAACUAUGUAAAAGGUGGCUAUGCUACCGCUUUUGGAUGGGCCCGCGGCGCAUUAGCUAGUUGGUGGGGUAAAGGCUUACCAAGGCAAUGAUGCGUAGCCGAACUGAGAGGUUGAUCGGCCACAUUGGGACUGAGACACGGCCCAAACUCCUACGGGAGGCAGCAGUAGGGAAUCUUCCACAAUGGGCGAAAGCCUGAUGGAGCAACGCCGCGUGGGUGAAGAAGGUCUUCGGAUCGUAAAACCCUGUUGUUAGAGAAGAAAGUGCGUGAGAGUAACUGUUCACGUUUCGACGGUAUCUAACCAGAAAGCCACGGCUAACUACGUGCCAGCAGCCGCGGUAAUACGUAGGUGGCAAGCGUUAUCCGGAUUUAUUGGGCGUAAAGGGAACGCAGGCGGUCUUUUAAGUCUGAUGUGAAAGCCUUCGGCUUAACCGGAGUAGUGCAUUGGAAACUGGGAGACUUGAGUGCAGAAGAGGAGAGUGGAACUCCAUGUGUAGCGGUGAAAUGCGUAGAUAUAUGGAAGAACACCAGUGGCGAAAGCGGCUCUCUGGUCUG